Molecule: long non-coding RNA, 717 nt
Filed under: Sus scrofa (pig)
Lineage: Eukaryota; Metazoa; Chordata; Mammalia; Artiodactyla; Suidae
Description: lncRNA (ENSSSCG00070024343.1)
Source: RNAcentral
AUUAAUGCCUGUUUAGCAAAUUACAGCUUCCCCGGCACCUCCUGCUCCUGGGAGAGAAGGAGCCUUGGAAACGGAAAAUAAAAACAAAUCUCAGCGCUCCGUGUCAAGGCUUGGCCGUGGCCAUGACAGCUGGGCCCGACUCGACAGAGCGUGGAGGCUUAGCAAAGCCAGGAGCUGUGCUGGUGAGAUUUCUGGUCUCAAGAAUCAGAGAGGAGAGGCCCAUCAAGCUGAGAUACCGGGGAGGCACCUGACGGAGCUGUGUCUGCCAAGCCUGCCUUGUGUCCAGGUAACCAGCCAGAAAGACGACCUUGUUUCCUCAAGGGCUGGGGAGGGAGACACGGGCCCGGCUGGCUUGGAGCCCAAGGUAGAGGGGCGCGGGGAGGGGAGCCAGGAUGUGCUGAGCUGGCAGGUUGAGCACUGCCCGUGCACAGCUCUGCAUACAUUUUGUGCCUUCGAUGUCCUCACCUUGGAGGAGAGUCGUAGCUUGUGUUCUAACCAGCUGUCCCAGUGUGUGAGGUUUCACAUGAUUUACUAAAGGGGGGGAAACAUUUGUUUCUUGCCGCAGACAUCCAAGAGAGCCCUCGUGAUGCAUGGCAGAGGAAUUGGCACAGAGGCUGCUGGAGCCCUGGCCCUGAUGGCGAUCAUCAUGCUCUGAGCAUCAAGGAGGGAGGGAAGCAGGGGCUGGAGCCCAGGGGGCCCCCGAGCGGAGACAGAGCC